RNAcentral lists this long non-coding RNA (1171 nucleotides) under Trifolium pratense (red clover). RNAcentral's name for it is "long non-coding RNA (TPRA_LNC006995)". The record is from RNAcentral. Lineage: Eukaryota; Viridiplantae; Streptophyta; Magnoliopsida; Fabales; Fabaceae.
AAAAUUCCAAUUAAUCAAGAACUUAAAGUUUGUCAUGGUUUAAUUAAAAUUAAAACUAUUCUAUGGCUUUGUGGUACUUACACUUUUCUUGUGUUUAACUUAAAGAGAAAAGCCCUAAUUUAUUUGUGCAAGUCAUGUCUUCUUUAAAAGAAAAUUUACAAUUUAUCAAAGACAUGGGAGUUGCUUCUGCUGCUUUGAAAUUAGACCCUCUGUAGCUUUUGAAAACAUGUAUUGAUGUGGUCUAAUUUUGAAGAAUAAAAAAGUGAGGGUUUAAAUCUACUUAGCUUAAAAUUUUGAGUUACUUUGGAAAAGAAAUUUUUAAGUUAAGAUAAGCUUUUGAUGAUUGUUUUAUACAAGUAGAUUAUUGGUUUUGGGAAUGAAAUGUUUGAACUAGCCAUGUUUUAUUGAGGGCCGAGGCAUGUAUAGUACAUGUAUCAUGCUUCUUUUCAAAAUUUUCAUGCUAUUUUAAAAAGAGAAUUAUCAUGGUUUAGAAGAAAACAAUUAUUUAGUAACUCAAUGAAAUUUACUUUGUUUGGAGAUGAAACUAGAAACUUUUUCAUUGCAACAUGUAUAAUUAUUUCUCAUUGUGAUUAUUAAGUGAUUAUUUACACGAGCCUUUUGAUCUUUAAUAAGGUUGCUACAUGUUAAGUUGACACUGCUUUAUGUAAGAUUUGCUUCAAGUUUUGGGACUGGUUUAUGCAACAUAUUUGGGGUACAGCCUAACGGCAAUGACUGNNNNNNNNNNNNNNNNNNNNNNNNGCUGCAUUUUUUCUGCAUAAAUGAGACUGGUUUUCUGUAUAUUCAUGCAUAAGAAUGAGACUGUUUUGCUGUAAAUUUCUGCAUGAAAUUGGGACUGGUUUGAUGGAUUUUUCUGCAUAACAACGGGACUGCUUUGCUAUAAAUUUCUGCAUAAAAAGAAGGGCUGAUUGCUGCAUUUUUCUGCAUAAAGGGGACUGUUUUCUUUGUUUCUUUUCUGCAGAAUUCUGCAGGUUGCAUGCUGCCAAUUGCGCGGGCGCGCCACACCCUUCGUGGGGCGCUCGAGGCAGCAGCCUUUAGCUCACUUUGUGUUGCAUUUUGUUCGAUUUUAGAUCAUGCAGUAUGAUAUGCUACCUGAAUGUAUGUUAAUUUAUAUAUAUGAAUAAGUUGAUCAUGUAUACGUAAUGAAUUUGAG